CUGAGCGUUGUGUCUGUUGUCUGCAGCUUGUAGUUACAUUCCAAUGGCCUUGUUUAUUAUAGACCAGACAUACACUCCAGAGGGGUUCUUGAUUCCGUAUCCUGUGUCUGCACGCUUGUGUGUGAGGUCUUAACACAUGCUCCGCUGUGUGUGUGUGUGUGUGUGUGUUAGAAACGGGAGCGAGGCUGAGGUCACAGCACAAGCUCAGUGGAAACAUUCUCGGAGACUCGAACCAAGCGCUCUGCUUGGUCCUCCAUUUUGAGCACCUAGCAAUAGGUGGAAAGGAACAGUGAGUUGAUUUCACAAACGACCACUACUACAGUUCUAGACAAAACUGUCAACGUCCCGACCCUUAGAGAUCGGUGUCAGACAUGGACGACUUGUUCGCCCCGCGGAGGAGAUAUAAGAACAGAAGCAAGGCUUGUGCGGACUCCAUUUUGCAGUACCCUACUCUCUCUCUCUCUCUCUCUCUCUCUCUCUGUAUGCUCGUAUUUACAAUCGAGCCGACAUGGCAGCCCUGAGAUCUUUGUGCACUCUCUCGCUGGCUGAAAAAUACAAUCAUGUCAAAGAAAGAGCGCUGUAGGUACUAAAGGAGACUGUGGGUUGAUUAGAAAAGUUGACCAUUUUUGUAAUAUUAUGACAGCGUUUCCAGUCGUGCGAGGAUUGGACGGGAUUGAUGGAAAGGGGCGGGGUUUGUCUUGAUUACUGUUGUGCAGUGUAACGUUACGCCAUGCUGGAUCAGACUGGUCUUGUUGUGGUUCAGAAAGCAUACAGGAAUACAAAGUGACCUGCUUGGUCUUUAUUUUUGUCACUUUCUAUUUUAGACUACGUGAAAUAUGUUGAUCGUAAUUCCUGUUGUUACAGGACUUGGCUUUAGAAGUUUUUUGUUUUUAUUUAGCCGUUAUUUAACUAGGCAUAGAAGUUCUUACAAUAUAAAAUAUACACAGAUUUGAAACAAUGUUUCAAUGCUGUUGGAGAGCUACAUUUAAUAUUUAUGCAUAUUCAGGGUUAGGUAUAAUAUGAUACCAUUUAAAAUAUCAGAUUACUUUCCUAGAAUAUUACUUACUCAUGACAUGCAUAAGGAAAUGUACCCCAAUCCCUUACAUAUUUUUAAUAAAUGGAUUGAUAAAUAAAUGGGAUCAUUUAAAGUGUA
Molecule: long non-coding RNA, 1153 nt
Organism: Oncorhynchus masou masou (cherry salmon)
Lineage: Eukaryota; Metazoa; Chordata; Actinopteri; Salmoniformes; Salmonidae
Exons: 2
Source: RefSeq, a predicted model, not a curated record